Non-coding RNA from Podarcis lilfordi (Lilford's wall lizard), 69 nucleotides. NCBI's taxonomy places the organism in Eukaryota, Metazoa, Chordata, Lepidosauria, Squamata, Lacertidae. The record is from the annotation of a GenBank genome assembly.
GGACAGUUAAGUUGGUAGAGAAUGAGACUCUUAAUUUUAGGGUCAUGGAUUCGAGUCCCACAUUGGGCA